UGGGAUUAGAUACCCCACUAUGCUCAACCGUAAACUCUUACCUACACUUAAAUCGCCAGGGAACUACGAGCCAAGCUUAAAACCCAAAGGACUUGACGGUACCCCAUAUCCCCCUAGAGGAGCCUGUCCUAUAAUCGAUAACCCCCGUUUAACCUCACCAUUUUUAGUUAUCAGCCUGUAUACCUCCGUCGCCAGCUUACCACGUGAGCGUUAAUAGUGAGCCAAAUGAAACUUCACCAACACGUCAGGUCAAGGUGCAGCAUAUAAAAUGGAAAGAGAUGGGCUACACUCUCUAUAUUAGAAGACACGAAUAACAAUAUGAAAUUCAGUUAAAAGGCGGAUUUAGCAGUAAAAAAGAAUCAGCAUGUCUUUUUUAAUCCAGCACUGGGGUGUGUACACACCGCCCGGUCAC
This 412-nucleotide ribosomal RNA is filed under the name Pelophryne api. RNAcentral describes it as "partial 12S ribosomal RNA". It matches the Rfam family "Bacterial small subunit ribosomal RNA", at positions 773 to 1400 of the family's 1533-position model. Lineage: Eukaryota; Metazoa; Chordata; Amphibia; Anura; Bufonidae. The record is from RNAcentral.